UACGGGGGGAGCAAGCGUUGUUCGGAUUUACUGGGCGUAAAGGGCGCGUAGGCGGUCAGCACAAGUCAGUUGUGAAAUCUCCGGGCUUAACUCGGAAAGGUCAACUGAUACUGUGCGACUAGAGUGCGGAAGGGGCAACUGGAAUUCUCGGUGUAGCGGUGAAAUGCGUAGAUAUCAGGAGGAACACCGGUGGCGAAGGCGGGUCUCUGGGCAACAACUGACGCUGAGGAGCGAAAGCGUGGGGAGCGAACAGG
Molecule: ribosomal RNA, 254 nt
Filed under: uncultured bacterium
Lineage: Bacteria
Description: partial 16S ribosomal RNA
Rfam family: Bacterial small subunit ribosomal RNA
Source: RNAcentral